RNAcentral lists this ribosomal RNA (465 nucleotides) under uncultured bacterium. Its description in RNAcentral is "partial 16S ribosomal RNA". It matches the Rfam family "Bacterial small subunit ribosomal RNA", at positions 28 to 507 of the family's 1533-position model. The record is from RNAcentral.
GACGAACGCUGGCGGCGUGCUUAACACAUGCAAGUCGAACGGAAAGGCCCCUUUGGGGGUACUCGAGUGGCGAACGGGUGAGUAACACGUGAGUAACCUGCCCUUGACUUCGGGAUAACUUCAGGAAACUGGGGCUAAUACCGGAUAGGAAUCCUUGCUGCAUGGUGGGGGUUGGAAAGCUUCGGCGGUUUUGGAUGGACUCGCGGCUUAUCAGCUUGUUGGUGGGGUAGUGGCUUACCAAGGCUUUGACGGGUAGCCGGCCUGAGAGGGCGACCGGCCACAUUGGGACUUAGGUACGGCCCAGGCUCCUACGGGGGGCAGCCGUGGGGAAUAUUGCACAAUGGGCGGAAGCCUGAUGCAGCAACGCCGCGUGCGGGAUGACGGCCUUCGGGUUGUAAACCGCUUUCAGCAGGGGCGAAGCUUGUGGUGACGGUACCUGCAGAAGAAGCACCGGCUAACUACGUG